GUUCUCUUCCCCACCUUUUCGCGGAUGCCCACGGCUCUACUCGCGGAGACUUGGCUGUGCCUCUCUCAUGCAGUGGCAUCAACAUUCCGUUCGAGUUUUCUGGAUGAACCUUGCACGCCUUGCAGACAGACCGCCACCUGCUGUCACUCCGGAUUUGCACUAGCGCGCCCUGAGCUUUCGACGCCCUUCGCUGAGGUCUGGGAUCGAGGAAGAAACGUGCUGGACGCGAGACCUGGAAGAAAGUGUAUGUGCUGCCAAAGUGAGCACUACAUUCAGUUUUAAAACAGCCUCUCCACGAUCUUAUCUCAUCAGUGCUGCAGAGAUGCUGAAGUAGGACCCUGACUUCUGAGGAGCAGGAAGUGCUGGACAGCUGAUCCUACUUGUCUUGGAAUUGCCUCCUGGAAUCUCCUGUGCGUUAUAUACUCAGCCCUCCAAGCUCCUGAAAUCUCAUCUCUAUAAAACCAGCCCAGUCUAAACCACAUCCUGUUGCCUCUGUAGGAAAUUUCUCUCAAGAUCCCUUUGCUCACAGAUACUGUCCUACCACUGUGUCUACCUGUUGCCCUCUCUGUGGAGUUACUGCUGCAUCACAUCAGUAGUUCUACUCAGUCUGUCAUAAACCCUGGAGGCCCAGCCUUGAGUCAUCUUCAGCUUCUUUGCUUGCACCUGAUUCAUUGUUGGACCUGGGGCUGGGCGGACAGCAGGCGCCUAGUAGAAAGCCUGGCCCGAGCCAUGGCGUCAGGAUGUGGCCGGCCUUGCUUUGACUACAGUCUGUUCUCUCCUGACUGAGCAGGUUACUUUCAAAAUUUGCCCCUGUAAGGCGGACACUAUUGUUAGAACCACUGGUUAGAUGAGGGAAAUGGGGGAUCCGAGGGAUGGAACCUUCAGCUCUGGGCUACCCCUCCCUCAUGUAACCACCCUGACCUUUCCUCCCCCGCCAGCAUCAGCAGCCUCUGCUGCAAUCUCCCUGCACCUGCCGUGAGGCCAUGGAACGGUUGAGUGCAGGGAGGGGUGGUGUUGACCGUCUUCACUGUGGUGGCCUCAUAAUUUCAUUCAGGUCACCAUGUCCAGAGUUAACAUCCCCUGUUCUGCCUCACAGCGUCAUCCCACAGAAUUAAAGUAAUGUCCCCAUAUUGGAAGGCCGUCCGGAAGCAGGCUGAGUAGUAAGGUGACUUGGUCUCCAGGACUGAGGGCUUUGGGGUCUGGACAAAUCUGGGUGUGGAUCGGGUCUGCCUCCCUCGAGCAGAGUGACCUCCGGGCAGUUCUGUAACCUCCUUGAGACUCAGUGUCCUUGCCUGUCAAACAACUUCUUGUGAGGGGUGAGGGUGAAAUGAGUUUAGGUAAAGCUCCCAGCACUGCUCUUGGCUCAGAGAGAACACUCGCAACAAGGCUGUUGUUCAGAUGGCAACACUCCAGGCCAGCGCCUCCUACAAGCACAGACUCACAUGGCUCAAGUAUGGUGGUGUUGCCAUCUCGAGGGACUCAUAUUUCCAGAGCAGCAACUUCACGUGGAACCAGAAUGGAACAGGGCAAAAGGAUGCCGUGAACGUAGAGGCACACCACCCCCGCCCUGCUCUGGGCCUCUGGGGUGGGUGGGUGGCUCCUCUCUCUGUGGUUAAGUCCCUCUUUCCAAUCAGGUGACACCCCUUCUAUAUGUAAAGUCUGUAAGUCUAUUAAAAAGUGGAAGUAAGUGCAAA
This is a long non-coding RNA of Bubalus bubalis (water buffalo), 1694 nucleotides long. RefSeq lists it as uncharacterized. NCBI's taxonomy places the organism in Eukaryota, Metazoa, Chordata, Mammalia, Artiodactyla, Bovidae. The record is from RefSeq and is a predicted model, not a curated record. The transcript is spliced from 4 exons.